AAAAUCACUUAGGGGUGCUGUAGGUUUUACGGCUGAGAACAAACCCUUAGAACCUGAUCGGAUAAUGCCGACGUAGGGAAAGUAUUUAGGUUAUGU
RNAcentral lists this non-coding RNA (96 nucleotides) under Porphyromonas cangingivalis. RNAcentral describes it as "TPP sequence". It matches the Rfam family "TPP riboswitch aptamer (THI element)". Rfam says of the family: Vitamin B(1) in its active form thiamin pyrophosphate (TPP) is an essential coenzyme that is synthesised by coupling of pyrimidine and thiazole moieties in bacteria. The previously detected thiamin-regulatory element, thi box was extended, resulting in a new, highly conserved RNA secondary structure, the THI element, which is widely distributed in eubacteria and also occurs in some archaea. Lineage: Bacteria; Pseudomonadati; Bacteroidota; Bacteroidia; Bacteroidales; Porphyromonadaceae. The record is from Rfam by way of RNAcentral.